UCUGAGUGCUGGGAUUAAAGGCGUGUGCC
This 29-nucleotide non-coding RNA is filed under the name Mus musculus (house mouse). The record is from RNAcentral. Lineage: Eukaryota; Metazoa; Chordata; Mammalia; Rodentia; Muridae.